UAUCCCCUGCGGUGUCCGCCAGCUCCCGCGUAACCCUUGAGCCUUAAUAAAUACUACCGGGGUGCAAGGUUAUGAUGGUGUGCAAGUCCACCCUGAAGUGGAAAGCCUAAGCCAUAGCUGAGUGUCCCACCUGAACCUUAGGUUCAGGGUCCAAGGGUGCAGCGGCACAGGCGGGGGUGUC
This 181-nucleotide non-coding RNA is filed under the name Gammaproteobacteria bacterium. Its description in RNAcentral is "6S RNA". It matches the Rfam family "6S / SsrS RNA". From Rfam's summary of the family: E. coli 6S RNA was the first non coding RNA to be sequenced, but its function was unknown until recently. It consists of 184 nucleotides that fold into an extended hairpin structure with a large single-stranded internal bulge. Lineage: Bacteria; Pseudomonadati; Pseudomonadota; Gammaproteobacteria. The record is from RNAcentral.